AUUGAACGCUGGCGGCAUGCUUUAUACAUGCAAGUCGUGCGGCAGCGCGGGGGCAACUCUGGCGGCGAGCGGCGAACGGGUGAGUAAUACAUAGGAACGUAUCCUGAAAUGGGGGAUAGCUCGGCGAAAGCCGGAUUAAUACCGCAUACGCUCCACGGAGGAAAGCAGGGGAUCGCAAGACCUUGCGUUUCUGGAGCGGCCUAUGUCUGAUUAGCUAGUGGCGGGGUAAUAGCCCACCAAGGCGACGAUCAGUAGCUGGUCCGAGAGGAUGAUCAGCCACACUGGGACUGAGACACGGCCCAGACUCCUACGGGAGGCAGCAGUAGGGAAUAUUGGACAAUGGGCGCAAGCCUGAUCCAGCCAUGCCG
Molecule: ribosomal RNA, 368 nt
Filed under: uncultured bacterium
Lineage: Bacteria
Description: bacterial SSU rRNA
Rfam family: Bacterial small subunit ribosomal RNA
Source: RNAcentral